This 582-nucleotide ribosomal RNA is filed under the name uncultured bacterium. RNAcentral's name for it is "bacterial SSU rRNA". It matches the Rfam family "Bacterial small subunit ribosomal RNA", at positions 112 to 714 of the family's 1533-position model. The record is from RNAcentral.
AAUAUAUAGGUAAUGUGCCCUAGAGAGGGGGAUAACAUUUGGAAACGAAUGCUAAGACCCCAUAUGCCUUUAAGACAAAAGUCUGCAAGGGAAAUAUUAAUAGCUCUAGGAUCGGCCUGUACGGUAUCAGCUAGUUGGUGAGGUAAUGGCUCACCAAGGCAAUGACGCCUAACUGGUUUGAGAGGAUGAUCAGUCACACUGGAACUGAGACACGGUCCAGACUCCUACGGGAGGCAGCAGUGGGGAAUAUUGCACAAUGGGGGAAACCCUGAUGCAGCAACGCCGCGUGGAGGAUGACACAUUUCGGUGCGUAAACUCCUUUUAUAUAGGAAGAUAAUGACGGUACUAUAUGAAUAAGCGCCGGCUAACUCCGUGCCAGCAGCCGCGGUAAUACGGAGGGCGCAAGCGUUACUCGGAAUCACUGGGCGUAAAGAGCGUGUAGGCGGGUUGAUAAGUUUGAAGUGAAAUCCAAUGGCUCAACCAUUGAACUGCUUUGAAAACUGUUAACUUAGAAUAUGAGAGAGGUAGAUGGAAUUUCUGGUGUAGGGGUAAAAUCCGUAGAGAUCAGAAGGAAUACCGAUU